CUGAGUGCGGGACGCGCGCUUCUUCGGUGUGGCGGUACUUUUUUCAUGUGUUCCUUGCCGUGGAUGCGUCUGUGCGCGCUAAGAAUGAACUGUGCUACAACUGACCUCUGGAAAUUUCGUCCAUUGGACUAUCUGGAACACUUGUGCAGCGAUCACAAGAGUCUGAAAAGAUGCCCAUUGACAUGGUGUGAAACAAGUGCCUUUGCCCUAAAGAAGUCAUGUUCGACAACACAUCGGGGUCGAUGUCGUCUACGCUCGGAAUAAUGUGCGUCUGGAAAAACUUGGGCAAGGUAGAAGCGGACUGCCGCGAACGGCGCUAAGGAAUGUGGUGCUGAUGUCGACAGCGCAAGAGUGAGGAAUUUAUGCAAGCUGCUUUAGAACGGGUGUGCUUCACGUCUCUCCUCUUCAUUCAUCACGGCGCCACCACCUGGGCCAGACAGUAGACUUGCGUGAAAAAGUAUUCCACAGCAAAUGCAUCUUGUUACUUUCCAAUGACACUCAAACCAGCAGGUGAUGGUGACGUGGACUCGAAUAAGCAGGUCGUGCCUCAAUGGCAGGGUGCUGUGCCCAACCUGCAUUGUCCCAGCCACCGUCGGGCAUAGCCUGACGAUCUCGGCCAACGAUGGACGAAGGAACGACACUCCCGUCAGUUAGAAGCCAUUGAUACAAGACCGUCUAAAGUCAUUAGACCUUGUGGACCAACCCUGUAGACACCAGCAACCGUGCAUUUCGGUCAAUUAUGAACUUCCUAAGGACAACAGGCCUAGUGGAUGAACUAUAAGGCUCCGCCCCAUAGGAGAUAUGCGUGCGUGUUACAUUCAAUUCAUCUUCGUGUCACUCAUGCCAACUCACACGCAAUGGAGUAGGAUGUCUCAGCUUAAGCGGCGAAACAUACAAAGAUAUUGUCAUCGCAUAUUUGUUGUUGCUGUUGUUUCGCUUUCUUUUGUAUAACAGAAGUUCGAAAUUUUGAUAGUUUCUAUCAAGGCAGGUCCUGAAUUUUUAAAAGUCAUCUACAGCCUUGAAGCUAUCUUUGAAGCUUCUUCCGGUUAUGUAUAAGUGACCGAGAACGAUGAUAAAAUUCAAUUUUCUAUCUUA
Ornithodoros turicata is the source of this 1095-nucleotide long non-coding RNA. RefSeq lists it as uncharacterized. The transcript has 6 exons. Lineage: Eukaryota; Metazoa; Arthropoda; Arachnida; Ixodida; Argasidae. The record is from RefSeq and is a predicted model, not a curated record.